Molecule: long non-coding RNA, 436 nt
Organism: Phycodurus eques (leafy seadragon)
Lineage: Eukaryota; Metazoa; Chordata; Actinopteri; Syngnathiformes; Syngnathidae
Exons: 3
Source: RefSeq, a predicted model, not a curated record
AUUACAAUUGCUGACAAAAUGUUUCUCAGGUCGUUUGGAUUUGCGCUGCUCUUGUCUUGUCCUGGAGUUCCUCAUGCCCAAAGCCCAGCAGAGCCCUGUCCUGCUCCGCAGCUGGAUGGAGGCUUUUUAGUGCCUGAACAAGAAACCUAUUUGCAUGAAACCAGUCUUACGUACGCUUGCAGCGCUGGACAAAAACCAGCAGUGGAGGGCUGGUGGGUCACCAGUGUCUGCCUGAACGGGUUAUGGUCUCAUACACCCCAAUGUAUAAAUGAAGACGCCUGCUUUACACCCAAUAUUCCCAAUGGCAAAUACAAUGAAAGUCCUGAAGGCUUGUGGUACAGGGAAGGAUCGGUCAUUCGGGUAAAGUGUGACGAAGGCUACCAACACCAAACCUGGGGAGCAACAGCCUCGUGUAGAAAGGGCGAUUGGUCCUCUU